RNAcentral lists this long non-coding RNA (360 nucleotides) under Homo sapiens (human). Its description in RNAcentral is "HSALNT0327537". The record is from RNAcentral. Lineage: Eukaryota; Metazoa; Chordata; Mammalia; Primates; Hominidae.
UCUAGGCCAGGCACGGUGGCUCACGCCUGUAAUCCCAGCACUUUGGGAGGUCAAGGUGGGUGGAUGACCUGAGGUCAGGAGUUCAAGACCAGCCUGGCCAACAUGCUGAAACCCAGUCUCUACUAAAAAUACAAAAAUUAGCCAGGUGUGGUGGCAGAUGCCUGUAGUCCCAGCUGCUCAGGAGGCUAAGGCAGGAGAGUCACUUGAACCCAGGAGGCAGAGGGUGCAGUAAGCUGAGAUUGCACCACUGUACUCCAGCCCUGGUGACAGAGCAAGACUCUGUCUCAAAAAAAAAAAAAAAAAAUUUAAGAAUAAGAAAUCUUACUUUAUGCAUUAAAUAAUCACUGGUCACAAAAUAAA